UCCACAGUGAAAAUGAAAGAAUAGUAUCAUUAUUCGACAGUAAACAUGACUAGCAUUACGAAAUCAUCAUGGUGGAAUUUAGUUAAAUAUGAAGAAACUGAAUGACAAAGCAUAUUCUACGUUAUACAACUUUAAUAAUUGUAUUAAAAUGAAUAUUUUUUACUGCAACAACAUCUUACCUGUUAGUUAUAAAGCACCUGCACGAUCUGUUCGUGAAAUGUCCUAAAUAUUCACCUAUUUUGGUAUAUAUUUCACAGCUGGAUGGCUUUAGGCGCGAUAAAACUCCGCUCGCAUCUCUUACUUUGUUUAA
This 310-nucleotide long non-coding RNA is filed under the name Mytilus galloprovincialis (Mediterranean mussel). The record is from RNAcentral. Lineage: Eukaryota; Metazoa; Mollusca; Bivalvia; Mytilida; Mytilidae.